UACGUAGGGUGCGAGCGUUGUCCGGAAUUAUUGGGCGUAAAGGGUUUGUAGGUGGCCCGCUAAGUCACACGUGAAAUCCCUCAGCUUAACUGGGGAACUGCGUGUGAGACUGGCAGGCUCGAGGGCAGGAGAGGAACGCGGAAUUCCAGGUGUAGCGGUGAAAUGCGUAGAUAUCUGGAGGAACACCGGUGGCGAAGGCGGCGUUCUGGACUGUCUCUGACACUGAAGAACGAAAGCCAGGGGAGCAAACGGG
This 253-nucleotide ribosomal RNA is filed under the name uncultured bacterium. RNAcentral describes it as "partial 16S ribosomal RNA". It matches the Rfam family "Bacterial small subunit ribosomal RNA", at positions 524 to 776 of the family's 1533-position model. The record is from RNAcentral.